Long non-coding RNA from Corticium candelabrum, 300 nucleotides. RefSeq lists it as uncharacterized. The record is from RefSeq and is a predicted model, not a curated record. The transcript has 3 exons. NCBI's taxonomy places the organism in Eukaryota, Metazoa, Porifera, Homoscleromorpha, Homosclerophorida, Plakinidae.
ACGUGCUGUAGUUCAGGCUUUGUCCCGUACGUUGUCGGAUUUGAAGUUCCUGGUUGACGAACUAUCUUUUGUAGUUGAUGAGCCUCAUGAGCUGCUUUGUGCUUGUUGUACUGGAAAAGAUUUGAGAUCUGUGAAUGUAUAAUGUUUAACUGCUCUACACAACAGGAGAUUCAAGUGACAGGAGAUCGAGUUUGACCAAUUUGGCAAUAUGUACAUUGUACUGAGAGACAAGAUGAUACUCUAAGGCAAGCACAAUUUGCUACUGUAACGGCCUAGUUUAUAAAUGUGGACACAGACAGG